CCUACGGGAGGCAGCAGUGGGGGAUAUUGCACAAUGGGGGAAACCCUGAUGCAGCGACGCCGCGUGAGUGAAGAAGUAUUUCGGUAUGUAAAGCUCUAUCAGCAGGGAAGAAAAUGACAGUACCUGACCAAUAAGCCCCGGCUAACGACGUGCCAGCAGCCGCGGUAAUACGUAGGGGGCAAGCGUUAUCCGGAUGUACUGGGUGUAAAGGGAGCGUAGACGGUUAUGUAAGUCUGGAGUGAAAGCCCUGGGCCCAACCCCGGGACUGCUUUGGAAACUGUGUAACUGGAGUACAGGAGGGGCAGGCGGAAUUCCUGGUGUAGCGGUGAAAUGCGUAGAUAUCAGGAGGAACACCGGCGGCGAAGGCGGCCUGCUGGACUGAAACUGACGUUGAGGCUCGAAAGCGUGGGGAGCGAACAGGAUUAGAUACCCCUGUAGUC
This 440-nucleotide ribosomal RNA is filed under the name uncultured bacterium. Its description in RNAcentral is "partial 16S ribosomal RNA". It matches the Rfam family "Bacterial small subunit ribosomal RNA", at positions 338 to 795 of the family's 1533-position model. The record is from RNAcentral.